This 253-nucleotide ribosomal RNA is filed under the name uncultured bacterium. RNAcentral describes it as "partial 16S ribosomal RNA". It matches the Rfam family "Bacterial small subunit ribosomal RNA", at positions 524 to 776 of the family's 1533-position model. The record is from RNAcentral.
UACGUAGGGUGCAAGCGUUGUCCGGAAUUAUUGGGCGUAAAGAGCUCGUAGGCGGUUUGUCGCGUCUGCUGUGAAAACUCGGGGCUUAACCCCGGGCCUGCAGUGGGUACGGGCAGACUAGAGUGCGGUAGGGGAGACUGGAAUUCCUGGUGUAGCGGUGAAAUGCGCAGAUAUCAGGAGGAACACCGGUGGCGAAGGCAGCUCGCUGGAACGGUACUGACGCUGAGGCGCGAAAGCGUGGGGAGCAAACAGG